This 253-nucleotide ribosomal RNA is filed under the name uncultured bacterium. RNAcentral describes it as "partial 16S ribosomal RNA". It matches the Rfam family "Bacterial small subunit ribosomal RNA", at positions 524 to 776 of the family's 1533-position model. The record is from RNAcentral.
UACGGGGGGGGCAAGCGUUGUUCGGAAUUACUGGGCGUAAAGGGCUCGUAGGUGGCCAACUAAGUCAGACGUGAAAUCCCUCGGCUUAACCUGGGAACUGCGUCGGAUACUGGAUGGCUUGAAUCCGGGAGAGGGAUGCAGAAUUCCAGGUGUAGCGGUGAAAUGCGUAGAUAUCUGGAGGAAUACCGGUGGCGAAGGCGGCAUCCUGGACCGGCAUUGACGCUGAAGCGCGAAAGCUAGGGGAGCAAACGGG